This 1815-nucleotide long non-coding RNA is filed under the name Pongo abelii (Sumatran orangutan). Its description in RNAcentral is "lincRNA". Lineage: Eukaryota; Metazoa; Chordata; Mammalia; Primates; Hominidae. The record is from RNAcentral.
GGGCAUCCUUAUUUUCAGCACAGUGUUUGUCCUGAAACUUCAAUGGAGUGCUCCUAGUUUGACAACUUGGGCCAUGCCAAAUAAAUUGAAUUUCUCUUUCUUAACAACAGAUGUUUGAAUACAGCCCCGUGUCCCUCUCUGCUCCUUCCUGCCUUCCUCCUCUCCUCUUCCUUCCCUUCCUUUUCAAGCGCAGGGUUUGCAAACUUUUUCUUGAAAGCGUCAGAUAGUAAAUAUUUUAGACUUCGUGGGCCAUACAGUCUCUUGUAGUAGUUACUCAACUCUGCCACCCAUAGCAUGAAAGCAGCUGAUAUAGUUUGAAUAUGUGUCCCUGCCCAAAUUUCAUGUUGCAAUGUAAUCCCCAGUGUUAGAGGUGGGGCCUGGUGGGAAGAGAUUUGAUAAUGGGGGUGGAUUUCUCAUGAAUGAUUUAUCAUCAUCCCUUUGGUCCUGUCCUUGCAAUCGUGAGUUCUUGCAAGAUCUGGUUGCUUACGAGUGUGUAGCACCUCCCUCCUCACUCUCUUGCUCCCGCUUCACCUUCUGCCAUGACUGUAAGUUUCCUGAGGCCUCCACAGAAGCUCAGCGAUGUCAGUGUCAUGCUCCCUCUACAGCCUGCAAAACUGUGAGCCAAUUAAACCUCUUUUCUUUAUACAUAUCCCAGUCUCAGCUAUUUCUUUAUAGCAUGAGAGAACAGCCUAAUCCAGCAGCCACAGACAAUAUGUAGCAAAUGGGCAUGGUUGUGUUCAAUAAACUUCAUUGACAAAACAUGUGCAAGCAGGUCAGAUUUGGCCCAUGGGCCAUAGUGUCCUAACCCUGCUCUGGAAUAUUCUCUUCAGCAACCUCUGCCUCCUGGGUUCAAGCAAUUCUCCUGCCUCAGCCUCCCAAGUAGCUGGGAUUACAGGCACCUGCCACCACACCUGGCUAAUUUUUGUAUUUUUUAAUAGAAAUAGGGUUUCACCAUGUUGGCCAGGCUGGUCUCAAACUACUGACAUCAGGUGAUCCACCCAUCUCAGCCUCCCAAAAUGCUGAGAUUACAGGUGCCGCCACCACACCUGGCUAAUUUUUGUAUUUUUAGUAAGAUGUGAUUUCACUAUGUUGCCCAGGCUGGUCUCGAACUCCUGAUCUCAAGCCAUUCACGUGCCUCAGCCUCCCAAAGUGCUGGGAUUACAGGUGUGAGCCACUGCAGCUGCCCUCCAGAUUUUUUUUUUGACCAUUGCUUAUUUGGUUUGACUUUCAUUUUCUUCCCCAUUGUGGUAGCCAUUUUCUGAAUGCCUGUUAGUUUGCCCGUCUCUCUCCUCUGUAGUCCCUAGAGUCAGAUGAACUCUCUGCAGGUGCAAUGGUGUAACACUCUCUAGUGCUGAAUUCUGAGCAGGAGAAAGAGAGCAAGAAUGACCAGCACUCUUGGAAACUCUGGCCUCCUGAGAAUUUGGUGUCUUCUCUGCAAAGGUUGCAAACCUGUUAACCCACAGGCCAGAGAGGGAGAGAAGCCAGGAGCAUGAUCUGUUAAGCUUGAGUUUAAUAUUUGAUGCACAGAGAUCACUGAGUUUUUUGAUAAGAAUUAGAGGGGGAAGACACAGCCACAGAGAACAAUUUCUAUCCCCAGGUGAGGAUUCAGGAGAUAAUCUGUGAAAAGAACAUCCUGAGAACUGAGAUGGGGGAAAUCGCUGGUGUUAGAAGGGUGAAAAGGUCACUAAUUAAGGCUAUGACUUGCUCUGAGGGUGAAAGCAGAAAAUGAGACUGCCAGGCAUGAAUAAUGAGAAAUCUUUGAUGGAAUUAGCCGUGCAGAACAGAUACUAAAUGCAUCCUCGUUCUCUCAUAGUC